This 446-nucleotide ribosomal RNA is filed under the name uncultured bacterium. RNAcentral describes it as "partial 16S ribosomal RNA". It matches the Rfam family "Bacterial small subunit ribosomal RNA", at positions 338 to 795 of the family's 1533-position model. The record is from RNAcentral.
CCUACGGGGGGCAGCAGUCGAGAAUCAUUCACAAUGGGGGAAACCCUGAUGGUGCGACGCCGCGUGGGGGAAUGAAGGUCUUCGGAUUGUAAACCCCUGUCAUGUGGGAGCAAAUUAAAAAGAUAGUACCACACGAGGAAGAGACGGCUAACUCUGUGCCAGCAGCCGCGGUAAUACAGAGGUCUCAAGCGUUGUUCGGAAUCUCUGGGCGUAAAGCGUGCGUAGGCUGUUUCGUAAGUCGUGUGUGAAAGGCGCGGGCUCAACCCGCGGACGGCACAUGAUACUGCGAGACUAGAGUAAUGGAGGGGGAACCGGAAUUCUCGGUGUAGCAGUGAAAUGCGUAGAUAUCGAGAGGAACACUCGUGGCGAAGGCGGGUUCCUGGACAUUAACUGACGCUGAGGCACGAAGGCCAGGGGAGCGAAAGGGAUUAGAUACCCCAGUAGUC